GUAAUAGGGCACAAUUGACCCAAGUCCAAAUAAAAUUAACAGUCCAACAAAUACAGGCCUGCACAAGCCCAAUACACCAAAAACAAAAAAAGAAAGGAAACCCUAGCCCCGAAUACACCCAGCAGCCGCAUGUCUGCCCAACUCCGCCUCCAGCAGUUCCCAGGCGCCGCACGUCUCGGAAUCGACCACCCCAGGCGCGCCGUUUGCUCCACGUUCACCUGCGAAUGCGGACUCAAAGAGUCCGAAGAGAAAAAAACAAGCGAAAUAAUUGUAUUUUUUUCUUUUUUCGGCCUAUAAAAGGGUCUUCUAUAAUCUGUAACAGGGGGACGGGGAAAAAUAGAUACCAAAAAAUAGAAAGGAAAUACAAGAAAGUACAAAGUUUUUGAAGGUGAAUUGGUUUUUUUUUUCUUACAGAUUUUCUACUCUUUUGGUUGUUUUUUUUAUUUUUAUUUCAUAAACAAAAAUCAAAAAAGGGGGUAGUACCUUUGAGGACUCUCCGUCGAAGUCACGGCGACUUCGCUCAAAUCGGGGCUUGGCCGAACGUCGAAAUCGGUGCCUGAAUUCGGGCUAACCAAACCGCCUGAACGGUGGUGCGAUGAUGCUAGGGACAAAACCCUAGCAGAGCAAAAGGAGCCUUUUUUUUAUUUUUUUUCUUUUCA
This 659-nucleotide long non-coding RNA is filed under the name Gossypium raimondii (Peruvian cotton). RNAcentral describes it as "long non-coding RNA (GRAI_LNC005090)". Lineage: Eukaryota; Viridiplantae; Streptophyta; Magnoliopsida; Malvales; Malvaceae. The record is from RNAcentral.